UGAUCCUACGGGACGCAGCAGUGGGGAGUAUUGCACAAUGGGGGAAACCCUGAUGCAGCGACGCCGCGUGAGCGAAGAAGUAUUUCGGUACGUAAAGUUCUAUCAGCAGGGAAGAAAAUGACAGUACCUGACCAAGAAGCCCCGGCUAACUACGUGCCAGCAGCCGCGGUAAUACGUAGGGGGCGAGCGUUAUCCGGAUUCACUGGGCGUAAAGGGAGCGCAGGCGGCACGGCAAGUCCGGUGUGAAAGCCCGGGGCCCAACCCCGGGACUGCACUGGAAACUGCCGGGCUGGAGUGUCGGGGGG
RNAcentral lists this ribosomal RNA (305 nucleotides) under uncultured bacterium. RNAcentral's name for it is "bacterial SSU rRNA". It matches the Rfam family "Bacterial small subunit ribosomal RNA", at positions 334 to 656 of the family's 1533-position model. The record is from RNAcentral.